This 258-nucleotide unclassified non-coding RNA is filed under the name uncultured fungus. Its description in RNAcentral is "sequence contains ITS1, 5.8S rRNA gene". The stretch from base 210 to 258 matches the Rfam family "5.8S ribosomal RNA", at positions 1 to 49 of the family's 154-position model. The record is from RNAcentral. Lineage: Eukaryota; Fungi.
UCUCCGUUGGUGAACCAGCGGAGGGAUCAUUGCUGGAACGCGCCCCAGGCGCACCCAGAAACCCUUUGUGAACUUAUACCUUACUGUUGCCUCGGCGCAUGCUGGUCCUCCGGGGCCCCUCACCCCCGGGUGUUGAGACGGCACGCCGGCGGCCAACCUAACUCUUGUUUUUACACUGAAACUCUGAGAAUAAAACAUAAAUGAAUCAAAACUUUCAACAACGGAUCUCUUGGUUCUGGCAUCGAUGAAGAACGCAGC